Molecule: ribosomal RNA, 492 nt
Filed under: uncultured bacterium
Lineage: Bacteria
Description: partial 16S ribosomal RNA
Rfam family: Bacterial small subunit ribosomal RNA
Source: RNAcentral
AGUGAACGCUGGCGGUAGGCCUAACACAUGCAAGUCGAACGGCAGCACAGUAAGAGCUUGCUCUUACGGGUGGCGAGUGGCGGACGGGUGAGGAAUACAUCGGAAUCUACUUUUUCGUGGGGGAUAACGUAGGGAAACUUGCGCUAAUACCGCAUACGACCUACGGGUGAAAGCAGUGGAUCUUCGCACCUUGCGCGAUUGAAUGAGCCGAUGUCGGAUUAGCUAGUUGGCGGGGUAAAGGCCCAGCAAGGCGACGAUCCGUAGCUGGUCUGAGAGGAUGAUCGGCCACACUGGAACUGAGACACGGUCCAGACUCCUACGGGAGGCAGCAGUGGGGAAUAUUGGACAAUGGGCGCAAGCCUGAUCCAGCCAUACCGCGUGGGUGAAGAAGGCCUUCGGGUUGUAAAGCCCUUUUGUUGGGAAAGAAAAGCAGCAGGUUAAUACCCCGCUGUUCUGACGGUACCCAAAGAAUAAGCACCGGCUAACUUCGUG